This 1293-nucleotide unclassified non-coding RNA is filed under the name Hevea brasiliensis (rubber tree). Lineage: Eukaryota; Viridiplantae; Streptophyta; Magnoliopsida; Malpighiales; Euphorbiaceae. The record is from RNAcentral.
GUGUGACCUACCCUUGCAGCAAACACAUCCAAACUUACUCCCAUAUCCAUGCAAUAAGUUACAUUUGUUCAUCAUACCCCACUCUGUUUCACCAGAAAAGAAACCACAUUUGCGUAAGUUCUUUUAUGAUAUUAUGAAUCAGGUUCAUGAAGAAUAUAAUACAUGACAAAAUCCAACAGCUAACUGAUGGAUGACUGUAAAUCAUAACUGAAACACUAAAUAGAGAAGCUCAUUAGACACUUGACAGAAUACAAAAACCAAAUGACAUUUUUUGCUCCACCACUUCUUAUCAGCAAUCUGUUUGAACAUGCGGUUAAUCCUCUCGCUUUUCUAUUGCUGUGCUGCUAUACUUGAACUGGGUAUGAUCCUGCUGCUCCUUGCACAGUAAAGCAGCCUACUCUAUGCGUGAUAAAUUGCAAAAUACCAUUUUGAACUUUAUCACUUAUAAAAUUCAACAUGACCAGCAAUCUCCCUACAUAACAGCUUGCAUUCAUUAGCUAACUUUAAGCUCUUAACAAUUAUAAGUCCUGUAUGUCUGUGAGUAGAUGUCGGUUUAUAUGAUUUAGCCUCCUCUUCCCUACCAAGCAACAGAGCUUCCCUGGCAGGUAUCACAUUCUCCAACCAAAAUUCCCGUAGAAUGGGGUGUAUUAGCUCCCAAUAACUAUGGUCCCUAUGCACUCGAAUUAUUGUGCUUCCAUUUGGUGUCCAGCAAUACAAAUCUGCCCAUUCUCUAUUCAUUAUUUCCAAUUGCCCUUGAACUUGAGGCAUGUAAUAGAAAGGCAUGGUUGACCAGGGCAGAGCCAUCUCUGGCUUCCCCUUGUUAUAGGGACACUUAACUUCCAGGAUGCCACCCUCCAGGAGACCAUCUGGAGAAGCACCAAGCCAAUCAAAUUGUUGUGCUGGAUGGAUUGCAAAUCCCAAAUGACUAACUUCACGACUUGUGAUGCUUUUAUAGCUGUCUAAAGCUGCCGCUUCAUUGUGCACACCCCAUUCCAAGGCUCUCUUAGAAGUUUCAAUGAUAUUUAUCUCUGGUGCAAAAACCUUCUCAUUCCAGAGCUCCAAACGACGGUUUCCCUUCCAAAAACCCAAGGCAGUACUGAAGGUGCUUGCGGUCAGUUUGUCCCUCCUCAGCGCAAACCAUUCUUCUGAACGUUGGGGUGCAUCAGAAUGUGUGAUGCAGGCGGCUAAUGCUAGUGAUGAGGGGGGACGGACAAUGAGAGAGUCUGUUGAAGAGAUCAAAGGUGCAGAGCAGGUGGAUAAGGUUCUGAAAAAUCCACCUCCAUACCUUCUCCU